RNAcentral lists this ribosomal RNA (253 nucleotides) under uncultured bacterium. RNAcentral describes it as "partial 16S ribosomal RNA". It matches the Rfam family "Bacterial small subunit ribosomal RNA", at positions 524 to 776 of the family's 1533-position model. The record is from RNAcentral.
UACGUAGGGGGCAAGCGUUGUCCGGAAUCAUUGGGCGUAAAGCGCGCGUAGGCGGCCCGGUAAGUCCGCUGUGAAAGUCGGGGGCUCAACCCUCGGAUGCCGGUGGAUACUGUCGGGCUUGAGUGCGGAAGAGGCGAGUGGAAUUCCUGGUGUAGCGGUGAAAUGCGCAGAUAUCAGGAGGAACACCAAUUGCGAAGGCAGCUCGCUGGGACGUUACUGACGCUGAGACGCGAAGGCGUGGGGAGCGAACGGG